RNAcentral lists this ribosomal RNA (571 nucleotides) under Delftia sp. enrichment culture. Its description in RNAcentral is "bacterial SSU rRNA". It matches the Rfam family "Bacterial small subunit ribosomal RNA", at positions 340 to 904 of the family's 1533-position model. Lineage: Bacteria; Pseudomonadati; Pseudomonadota; Betaproteobacteria; Burkholderiales; Comamonadaceae. The record is from RNAcentral.
UACGGGAGGCAGCAGUGGGGAAUUUUGGACAAUGGGCGAAAGCCUGAUCCAGCAAUGCCGCGUGCAGGAUGAAGGCCUUCGGGUUGUAAACUGCUUUUGUACGGAACGAAAAAGCUCCUUCUAAUACAGGGGGCCCAUGACGGUACCGUAAGAAUAAGCACCGGCUAACUACGUGCCAGCAGCCGCGGUAAUACGUAGGGUGCGAGCGUUAAUCGGAAUUACUGGGCGUAAAGCGUGCGCAGGCGGUUAUGUAAGACAGAUGUGAAAUCCCCGGGCUCAACCUGGGAACUGCAUUUGUGACUGCAUGGCUAGAGUACGGUAGAGGGGGAUGGAAUUCCGCGUGUAGCAGUGAAAUGCGUAGAUAUGCGGAGGAACACCGAUGGCGAAGGCAAUCCCCUGGACCUGUACUGACGCUCAUGCACGAAAGCGUGGGGAGCAAACAGGAUUAGAUACCCUGGUAGUCCACGCCCUAAACGAUGUCAACUGGUUGUUGGGAAUUAGUUUUCUCAGUAACGAAGCUAACGCGUGAAGUUGACCGCCUGGGGAGUACGGCCGCAAGGUUGAAACUCAA